Molecule: RNA transcript, 15829 nt
Organism: Oryctolagus cuniculus (rabbit)
Lineage: Eukaryota; Metazoa; Chordata; Mammalia; Lagomorpha; Leporidae
Gene: BSN
Gene name: bassoon presynaptic cytomatrix protein
Source: RefSeq, a predicted model, not a curated record
GCAUGCGCAGCGGCAGACGGCGGCGCGAGCCCAGCCGGGAGAUGGCGGCGGCGGCGGCGGCGGCUCCGAGAGUGUGAGCACCACCCGGGAGCCGCCCGCCUGGGCGUAGUGCGACCCCAACGCUGCCCGCCCGUCCGCCUGCCUGCCAUGGGCAACGAGGCCAGCCUAGAAGGCGGUGCUGGCGACGGGCCGCUGCCGCCAGGAGGCCCCGGCCCGGGCCCGGGCCCCGGCGCAGGGAAGCCGCCUUCAGCACCAGCCGGCGGCGGACAGCUCCCCACGGCGGGUGCGGCGCGGGCGACCGCGGGACCACCGGGCCCUGGCCCUGGCCCUGGCCCUGGCCCCGGUCCCAGCUCGGGCUCGGGCAGCGCUUCCCGGAGACUGGACCCCAAGGAACCUGUGGGUAGCCAGAGAGCAGCUUCCCCAACCCCGAAGCAGGCUUCCACUACUGCUCCUGGCCGAGAGAGCCCCCGGGAGACGAGGGCGCAGGGCCCAGCAGGCCAGGAGGCUGAUGGCCCCCGCAGGACGCUGCAGGUAGACAGCAGGACGCAGAGAGCAGGGCGGUCCCCCUCGGUGUCGCCGGACAGAGGCAGCACCCCCACAUCACCCUACUCCGUCCCCCAGAUUGCCCCCCUUCCCAGCAGCACCCUGUGUCCCAUAUGCAAGACCUCGGACCUCACGUCGACCCCCAGCCAGCCAAACUUCAACACCUGCACCCAGUGUCACAACAAAGUCUGCAACCAGUGUGGGUUCAACCCCAACCCUCAUCUCACCCAGGUGAAGGAGUGGCUCUGUCUGAACUGUCAGAUGCAGAGGGCUCUGGGAAUGGACAUGACCACUGCGCCUCGCUCCAAGAGCCAGCAGCAGCUGCACUCCCCAGCCCUGUCUCCUGCCCACUCCCCAGCCAAACAGCCCCUGGGGAAGCCAGAGCAAGAGAGAUCUCGGGGCCCAGGGGGACCGCAGCCUGGCCCCCGCCAGGCUGAGGCAGCCAGGGCCACCUCAGUGCCGGGGCCUGCACAAGCAGCUGCCCCUCCAGAGGUGGGGAGGGCAUCUCCUCAGCCCCCUCACCCCACCAAGCCUUCCACAACUGAGCCUAGGCCACCUGCAGGAGAGGCCCCAGCAAAAAGUGCCACUGCAGCGCCCUCUGGGCCUGGUGCUGCCGAGCAGACCCAAGAGGGCCUCACUGGGAAGCUCUUCGGCCUUGGCGCAUCACUGCUAACCCAGGCAAGCACCCUCAUGUCUGUGCAGCCUGAGGCUGACCCCCAGGGCCAGGCUGCACCCAGUAAGGGGCCGCCCAAGAUCGUCUUCAGCGAUGCCAGCAAGGAGGCUGGUCCAAGACCUCCAGGCUCAGGACCUGGGCCUGGACCAGUAUCUGGAGCCAAAACUGAGCCUGGGGCUAGAACAGGCCCUGGAUCAGGGCCUGGAGCCCUGGCAAAAACUGGAGGAACAACCAGUCCAAAACAUGGCAGAGCAGAACAUCAGGCAGCAUCCAAGGCUGCUGCCAAGCCAAAGACCAUGCCGAAGGAAAGGGCUACCUGCCCGCUGUGCCAAGCCGAGCUCAACGUGGGCAGCAAGGGCCCAGCCAACUAUAACACCUGCACCACCUGCAAGCUCCAGGUGUGCAACCUGUGUGGCUUUAACCCAACACCCCACCUGGUAGAGAAAACAGAGUGGCUCUGUCUGAACUGCCAAACUAAGCGGCUGCUGGAGGGCGGCCUGGGAGAGCCGACCCCGCUGCCGCUGCCCACCUCACAGCAGCCCCCUUCGGGGACCCCUCACCGUGCCGCUGGAACAGCCCCUCCGAAGCAGAAAGGGCCACAGGGGCCCAGCCAACCACCAGGCCCUCUGCCUGCCAAGGCCAGCCCCCUACCCACCAAGACCAGCCCCCUGCCCACAAAGGCCAGCACCCAGUCCAAGCCCCUCAGAGCUUCUGAACCCAGCAAGACCCCAAGCAGUGCCCAGGAAAAGAAGACAGGAGUCCCUGCAAAAGCUGAGUCUGUGCCGAAGCCACCUCCAGAAACGACCCCGCCCCCUGGGGCUCCUAAAGUAAAGAGCGGGGUGAGGAGGAUUGAACCUGCCCCCCCUGUCGUCAAGGCAGCUCCAGAAGCCCCCAAGGGUGGGGAAGCAGAGGAACCGGUGGGCAAGCCUUACCCUCAGGACCUGUCACGGAGCCCACAGAGCCUCAGUGACACAGGCUAUUCUUCCGACGGCAUCUCCAGCUCCCAGAGUGAGAUCACAGGUGUGGUGCGGCAGGAGGUGGAGCAGCUGGACAGCGCGGGGGUGACAGGGCCACGGCCGCCCAGCCCCUCUGAGCUCCACAAGGUGGGGAGCAGCAUGCGUCCUUUGCUGGAGACACAGGGCCUGGCCCCCAGUGGUGGUGAGCGGAGCAAGGCCCCCAGCAGCAGCACUGGUAAGGAGCAGAAGCGGCGGCCCCACUCCUUGUCCAUUAUGCCCGAGGCCUUCGACUCUGACGAGGAGCUGGAGGAUAUCCUGGAGGAGGAGGAGGGCUCCCUGCAGUGGCAGCGCCAGCGGGAGCAGCGGGAUGCCGCCGAGUCCUCAGACGACUUCGGCAGCCAGCUGAGGCACGACUAUGUGGAGGACAGCAGCGAGGGCGGCCUGUCCCCUGUUCCACCGCAGCCCCCGGCCCGGGCAGCUGAGCUGACUGAUGAGGAGUUCAUGCGACGGCAGAUCCUGGAGAUGAGUGCUGAGGAAGACAACCUAGAAGACGAUGACACUGCCACCUCCGGACACGGCCUGGCCAAACCUGGUACCCAGAAGGGCGGCCCCAGGACCAGGCCUGAGCCUGGCCAAGAACCAGUAGCCCUGCCCAAGAGGCGCCUGCCCCACAAUGCCACGACUGGCUAUGAGGAACUGCUCUCUGAGGCGGGGCCGUCAGAGGACACAGACGGGAGCGGGUCGCUGCAGGGUGGACUCCGACGCUUCAAGACCAUUGAGCUCAACAGCACGGGCAGCUAUGGUCAUGAGCUAGACCUGGGCCAAGGCCCUGACCCCAGCCUCGACCGGGAGCCUGAGUUGGAGAUGGAGAGCCUGACGGGCUCGCCAGAGGACCGCUCCCGUGGGGAGCACUCCUCCACCCUGCCCGCCUCCACACCCAGCUACACGUCGGGCACCUCCCCCACCUCCCUGUCCUCACUGGAGGAGGACAGUGACAGCAGCCCCAGCCGCCGGCAGCGACUAGAAGAAGCCAAACAGCAGCGCAAGGCCCGGCACCGCUCCCAUGGGCCCCUGCUGCCCACCAUCGAGGACUCCUCAGAGGAGGAGGAGCUGCGGGAGGAAGAGGAGCUGCUGCGGGAGCAGGAGAAGAUGCGGGAGGUGGAGCAGCAGCGCAUCCGCAGCACGGCCCGCAAGACCCGGCGUGACAAGGAGGAGCUGCGGGCCCAGCGGCGGCGCGAGCGCUCCAAAACACCCCCCAGCAACCUGUCGCCCAUCGAGGACGCGUCCCCCACGGAGGAACUGAGGCAGGCAGCAGAGAUGGAGGAGCUGCACCGCUCCUCGUGCUCUGAGUACUCGCCCUCGCCCUCCCUUGACUCGGAGGCCGAGGCCCUGGACGGAGGCCCCAGCCGGCUCUAUAAGUCGGGCAGUGAGUACAACCUGCCCACCUUCAUGUCCCUCUACUCACCAACCGAGACGCCUGUGGGCAGCGCCCCCACGCCCAGCGCCGCACGGCCCCUCAAGAGUGCGGAGGAGGCCUAUGAGGAGAUGAUGCGGAAGGCUGAGCUGCUGCAGCGGCAGCAGGGCCAGGGGCCGGGGGCCAGGGGGCCUCAUGCAGGCCAGGGCGCCUUUGACUACCAGGACACCCCAGACCGUGACUAUGGCAGGGCCGCCCAGCCUGCCCCAGAGGGCCCGCCGGCUGGCGUGGGAACAGCCGUGUACGAGGAGAUCCUUCAGACGUCACAAAGCAUCGCGCGCAUGCGGCAGGCUUCCUCGAGGGACCUGGCCUUCGCUGAGGACAAGAAGAAGGAGAAGCAGUUUCUGAAUGCUGACAGUGCAUACAUGGACCCGAUGAAGCAAAAUGGUGGCCCACUGACGCCAGGAACCAGUCCCACCCAGCUCGCUGCCCCCGUGUCCUUCUCCACCUCCACCCCCUCAGACAGCAGCGGAGGCCGAGUUAUCCCCGAUGUCCGUGUCACUCAGCAUUUCGCAAAGGAGCCUCAGGAACCCCUCAGGCUGCACAGCUCUGCUGCCUCCCCCAGCUCUGCCUCCAAGGAGGCAGGUGUGUCUGUCUCCCAGGGGCCUGGGGCGCCAGCCACGCCAGCUGUGGCUCCUUGUCCAGCUGGUCUGCCACGAGGGUAUAUAACCCCGGCCCCUGCUGCCGGCUCUGAGCGCAUUCCUCCACCAUCCUCUGCAGGCCACGGCUAUGGCCCAAGCCCAAGCACUGCAAACUAUGCGUCCCAAACCGAGGAGCUGCCCCAGGCCCCCGGUGGCACUGCUGCAGGUGGACGGGCUUCCAGAGAGAAGUCCCUGAGCGGGGGCGAUGGUGACAUUGGUACUCCACAGACUUCCCGGGGAUAUUCCUACUUUGUGGGUUCCAGCCCACCAGUCUCCCCGUCUUCCCCCUCGGAGAGUCCCACGUUCUCCCCCGGCAAGCUGGGCCCACGGGCCACAGCAGAGUUCUCUACACAGACGCCAAGUGCAGUGCCUGCCUUGGACAUGCCACGGAGCCCCGGUGCCCCCACCUCGACACCCAUGGUAGCCCAGGGCACACAAACACCACAUCGACCCAGCACGCCUCGCCUGGUGUGGCAGCAGUCCUCUCAGGAGGCACCCAUUAUGGUCAUCACCCUGGCAUCAGACGCCUCUAGCCAGACCAGGAUGGUACAUGCCAGCGCCUCUACCUCCCCACUCAGCUCACCUACAGACACCCAGCCCACCGCCCACAGCUACAGCCAGACAACACCUCCCAGUGGGUCUCAGAUGCCCCCAGAGCCACCUGGGCCCCCUGGCUUCCCACGGGCACCCAGUGCUGGGGCAGACGGGCCCUUGGCCCUGUAUGGCUGGGGCGCCCUCCCUGCUGAGAACAUCUCCCUGUGCCGGAUCUCCUCUGUCCCUGGAACAUCCAGGGUUGAGCCGGGCCCCAGGCCUCCUGGCAGUGCAGUGGUAGACCUCCGUACAGCUGUCAAGCCCACACCCAUCAUCCUCACUGACCAGGGCAUGGACCUGACCUCUCUUGCUGCAGAAGCAAGGAAAUAUGGCCUCGCUCUGGAUCCAAUUCCAGGACGGCAGUCGACCGCUGUGCAGCCCUUGGUUAUCAACCUCAAUGCCCAGGAGCAGACCCACACCUUUCUCGGCACUGCCACCACCGUGAGCAUCACCAUGUCCUCCUCUGUGCUCAUGGCUCAGCAAAAGCAGCCCGUGGUCUAUGGAGACCCUUUCCAGAGCCGGCUUGACUUUGGUCAGGGGUCAGGGAGCCCUGUGUGCCUGGCCCAGGUCAAGCAGGUAGAACAAGCUGUCCAGACAGCCCCGUACCGAGGGGGACCCCGGGGAAGACCCAGGGAGGCCAAGUUUGCUAGGUAUAACCUACCCAACCAGAUGGCACCUCUGGCCAGAAGAGAUGUUUUGAUCACUCAAAUGGGCACUGCCCAGAGCGUGGGCCUCAAGGCUGGGCCAGUGCCAGAGCCCGGAGCUGAGCCCCACCGGGUCACCCCAGCAGAGCUGCGGUCACAUGCUCUGCCAGGUGCCAGGAAGCCACACACAGUGGUGGUGCAGAUGGGAGAGGGCACAGCAGGCACUGUGACCACUCUGCUCCCAGAGGAACCAGCAGGUGCCCUGGACCUUACGGGGAUGAGACCAGAGAGCCAGCUGGCAUGCUGUGACAUGGUCUACAAGUUCCCCUUUGGCAGUAGCUGCACUGGCACCUUCCACCCUGCCCCCAGCGCACCUGAGAAGAGUGUGUCAGAUGCCGCUCCACCUGGCCCAAGCAGUGGCCCCUUCUAUGGUCCCCGGGACUCCGAGCCUCCUGAGCCCCCCACCUACCGGGCACAGGGAGUCAUGGGGCCCGGGCCCCAUGAGGAACAGAGGCCCUACCCACAGGGCCUCCCUGGAAGACUAUACUCCUCCAUGUCUGACACCAAUCUGGCUGAGGCUGGUCUCAACUACCACGCCCACAGGAUUGGGCAGCUCCUCCAGGGUGCUGGACGAGACUCGGCCAUGGACCUCAGCUCCCUGAAGCACUCCUACAGCCUGGGCUUCACAGACGGACGCUACGUAGGGCAGGGCCUGCAGUAUGGCUCGUUUACAGACCUGCGUCAGCCCACGGAUCUUUUGACUCACCCGCUUCCCAUGCGGCGCUAUAGCUCAGUGUCCAACAUUUACUCAGACCACAGGUAUGGCACACGGGGAGAUGCAGUUGGUUUCCAAGAGGCCAGUCUGGCCCAGUACAGUGCCACCACGGCCCGUGAGAUCAGCCGCAUGUGUGCCGCCCUCAACUCCAUGGACCAGUACGGCGGGCGACGUGGCAGCAGUGGUGGUGGCCCUGACCUUGCGCAGUACCAGCCCCAGCAUGGGCCUGGGCUCAGUGCUCCGCAGGUUCUGGCUCCCCUCAGACCUGGCCUCCUUGGUAACCCCACCUUCCCAGAGGGCCACCCGAGUCCUGGGAACCUGGCCCAGUACGGACCUGCGGCAGGCCAGGGAACAGCAGUCAGACAGCUGCUGCCAUCCACAGCCACUGUGCGUGCCGCUGAUGGCAUGAUCUAUUCUACUAUUAACACCCCAAUUGCUGCAACACUGCCCAUCACCACCCAGCCUGCCUCAGUCCUGCGGCCCAUGGUGCGUGGUGGCAUGUACAGGCCUUAUGCAUCUGGUGGGGUUACAGCUGUGCCCCUCACCAGCCUGACACGCAUGCCCAUCAUUGCACCCCGGGUACCUCUUGGGCCCCCAGGCCUGUUCCGAUACCCUGCACCGGGUAGAUUCCCCAUUGCUUCCAGUGUCCCACCUGCGGAGGGGCCUGUCUACCUGGGGAAACCUGCUGCUGCCAAGGCCCCUGGGACCGGAGGCCCACCACGGCCAGAGCUGCCAGCAGGGGCUGCACGGGAAGAACCUCUUAGCACCACCACCCCAGCUGCUGUUAAGGAGGCCGUGGCCGCCCCAGCCUCUGCUCCACUAGCUGGCCAGAAGCUGCCAGGAGAUGCUGCUCCUGGGGCUGGCAGUGCAGCCCUCAGCCGGCCAGGGCCCGAGAAGGAGGAAGCAUCGCAGGAGGAGAGGCAGCGGAAGCAGCAGGAGCAGCUGCUGCAGCUGGAGCGGGAGCGAGUCGAGUUGGAGAAGCUGCGACAGCUGCGGCUGCAAGAGGAGCUGGAGAGGGAGCGUGUGGAGCUUCAGCGGCACCGCGAGGAAGAGCAGCUGCUGGUGCAGCGGGAGCUGCAGGAGCUGCAGACCAUCAAGCACCACGUGCUGCAGCAGCAGCAGGAGGAGCGCCAGGCUCAGUUUGCACUGCAGCGAGAGCAGCUGGCGCAGCAGCGCCUGCAGCUGGAGCAGAUCCAGCAGCUGCAGCAGCAGCUGCAGCAGCAGCUAGAGGAGCAGAAGCAGCGGCAGAAGGCUCCCUUCCCCGCAGCCUGUGAGGCACCCGGCCGAGGGCCUCCCCCGGCUGCACCUGAGUUGGCCCAGAAUGGCCAGUACUGGCCGCCCCUAAGCCACACAGCCUUCAUUGCUGUGGCAGGGCCUGAGGGGCCUGGGCAGCCUCGUGAGCCUGUGCUGCACCGGGGUCUCCCCAGCUCCGCCUCAGACAUGUCCCUGCAGACUGAGGAGCAGUGGGAGACAAGCCGGGCUGGCAUCAAGAAGCGGCACUCCAUGCCACGCCUGCGGGAUGCGUGUGAGUCAGAGCCGGGACCUGAGCCCGGCGCCGUCAGGAGGAUUGCAGACAGCAGCGUGCAGACGGACGACGAAGACGGGGAGGGCCGCUACCUCCUGCCCCGGCGGCGCCGCACACGGCGCAGUGCUGACUGCAGUGUGCAGACCGACGACGAGGACAACGCCGAAUGGGAGCAGCCGGUGCGCCGCCGCAGGACCCGGCUGUCCCGCCACUCGGACUCCAGCUCCGACAGCAAGCACGAGGCCACUGCCUCAGCACCCCCUGCCGCUGCUGCCGCGAGGGCCGUGAGCAGUGUGGGCAUCCAGACCAUCAGUGACUGCUCUGUACAGACGGAGCCUGACCCGCUGCCCAGGGUCUCUCCGGCCAUCCACAUCACAGCUGCCACUGACCCCAAGGUGGAGAUCGUCAAGUACAUAUCAGCGCCAGAGAAGACGGGGCGUGGGGAAAGCCUGGCCUGCCAGACAGAGCCAGAUGCGCAGGCCCAGGCUGUGGCCGGGACACAGCUUGUAGGGCCAACUGCCAUCAGCCCCUACCUGCCUGGCAUCCAAAUCGUCACCCCAGGGCCCCUGGGCAGAUUUGAAAAAAAGAAGCCAGAUCCCCUGGAGAUUGGGUACCAGGCCCACCUGCCCCCGGAGUCCCUCUCACAGCUCGUGAGCCGCCAGCCUCCCAAGUCCCCUCAGGUCCUCUACUCACCAGUGUCGCCCCUGUCCCCACACCGGCUCCUGGACACCUCCUUUGCUUCCAGUGAGAGGCUGAACAAGGCUCACGUGAGUCCCCAGAAGCACUUCGCAGCUGACAGCACUCUCCGCCAGCAGACGCUGCCUCGCCCCAUGAAGACCCUGCAGAGGUCCUUGUCUGACCCUAAGCCCCUCAGCCCCACCGCCGAGGAGUCUGCCAAAGAGAGAUUCUCCCUCUACCAGCACCAGGGGGGGCUGGGUAGCCAGGUGUCGGCGCUGCCACCCAACGGCCUGGUCCGCAAGGUGAAGCGGACACUGCCCAGCCCCCCUCCAGAGGAGGCUCACCUUCCCCUGGCUGGCCAGGCCCCCCCACAGCUGUAUGCAGCCAGCCUGUUGCAGCGAGGGCUGGCGGGGCCCACCGCUGUCCCUGCCACCAAGGCCAGCCUGCUCCGGGAGCUGGACCGGGACCUGCGGCUGGUGGAGCAUGAGUCCACCAAGCUGCGCAAGAAGCAGGCAGAGCUGGAUGAGGAGGAGAAGGAGAUUGACGCCAAGCUCAAGUACCUGGAGCUGGGUAUCACACAGCGCAAAGAGUCUUUGGCCAAAGACCGGGGUGGCCGUGACUACCCACCCUUGCGUGGUCUUGGUGAGCAUCGUGACUACCUAUCGGACAGUGAGCUCAACCAGCUGCGGCUCCAGGGCUGCACGGCUCCAGCCGGACAGUAUGGGGACUUCCCUGCCACUGCCGCCGCUCCUGCCACCCCCUCUGGCCCCACUGCCUUCCAGCAGCCACGGUUCCCACCUCCGGCCCCACAGUACACUGCAGGCAGUGCUGGGAUGACUCAGAACGGAGUCCCAGCCCACCAGGCACCCACCUACCCUGGCUCUAGCACCUAUCCAGCACCUGCCUUUCCUCCUGGCACCAGUUACCCAACUGAGCCUGGCCUGACAAACCAGCAGGCUUUCCGUCCCACAGGCCACUAUACAGCCCAAACGUCCAUGCCAGCCACACAGAGCACCCACUUUCCAGUCCCAGCUGACAGCCGUGCCCUCCACCAGAAGCCACGCCAGACAUCACUGGCUGACUUGGAGCAGAAGGUGCCCACCAACUACGAGGUGAUCACCAGCCCCGUUGUAGCCGUGUCUUCAGCCACCUCUGAAACCAGCUACAGUGGCCCAGCAGUGAGCAGCAGCUACGAGCAGGGCAAGGUCCCUGAGCUGCCCCGGGCCAGCGACCGUAGUGGUGUGAGCCAGAGCCCAGCCCCCACCUACCCUCCUGACUCACACUACACCAGCCUGGAGCAGAAUGUUCCUCGGAACUACGUGAUGAUCGACGACAUCAGUGAGCUGACCAAGGACAGCACCUCCACGGCCCCAGAGAGCCAGCGGUUGGAUCCCUCGGGGCCGGGUGGCAGCGGACGUCCAGGGAAAGAGCCUGGAGAGCCUGGCAUCCUUGAGGGGUCGGCACUGCCCUGCUGCUAUGCCCGCGGGGAGGAGGAAUCCGAGGAGGACUCCUACGAGCCCCGUGGGAAGGUUGGCCACCACCGGAGCGUGGAGAGCAAUGGCCGACCAGCCAGUGCCCACUACUACAGUGACAGUGACUACAGACAUGGGGCCCGGGCAGAGAAAUAUGGUCCGGGGCCCUCAGGACCCAAGCAUCCCUCCAAGAGCCUGGCCCCUGCUGCCAUCCCGUCCAAGCGCAGCAAGCACCGGAAGCAGGGAAUGGAGCAAAAGAUCUCCAAGUUCUCGCCUAUUGAGGAGGCCAAAGACGUGGAGUCAGACCUGGCCUCCUACCCCCCCUCUGCCGUCAGCAGCAGCCUGGCCUCUCGGGGCAGGAAGUUCCAGGACGACAUCACCUACGGGCUCAAGAAGAACGUGUAUGAACAGCAGAGGUACUACGGGGUGUCCAGCCGGGACGCAGUGGAGGAGGAUGACCGCAUGUAUGGUGGGAGCAGCCGGUCCCGGGGGGCAUCCGCUUAUAGUGGGGAGAAGCUGUCGAGCCACGACUUCAGUGGCCGAGGCAAGGGGUACGAACGGGAACGGGAGACUGUGGAGCGACUUCAAAAAGCAGGUCCCAAGCCCUCGUCCUUAAGCAUGGCCCACAGCCGGGGACGGCCCCCCAUGCGGAGCCAAGCUUCUGAAGAGGAGAGCCCCGUCAGCCCCUUGGGACGGCCCCGCCCUGCCGGGGGGACCCUCCCUCCUGGGGAUAGCUGCCCGCAGUUCUGCUCCAGCCACUCCAUGCCUGACGUCCAGGAGCACGUCAAGGACGGGCCUCGGGCCCACGCGUAUAAGCGUGAGGAGGGCUACAUCCUGGAUGACUCCCACUGCGUGGUUUCCGACAGCGAAGCGUAUCACCUGGGCCAGGAGGAGACAGACUGGUUUGAUAAGCCCCGGGAUGCCCGCUCCGACCGGUUCAGGCACCAUGGGGGCCAUGCAGUCUCCUCCUCCCAGAAGCGAGGCCCUGCCAGGCACAGCUACCAUGACUACGACGAACCCUCCGAGGAGGGCCUGUGGGCUCCCGAUGAGGGUGGCCCUGGCCGCCAUGCCUCAGCCAAGGAACACCGGCAUCACAGUGACCAUGGGCGGCACUCGAGUCGCCACACUGGCGAGGAGCCAGGACGGCGUGCCACCAAACCGCACGCUCGGGACAUGGGUCGCCACGAGGCCCGGCCUCACCCUCAACCCAGCCCUGCCCCAGCCAUGCCGAAGAAGGGUCAGCCUGGGUACCCCAGCUCUGCAGAAUACUCACAGCCACCACGUGUUCCGUCAGCAUACCAUCAUGCCUCCGACAGCAAAAAGGGCUCCCGGCAGGCCCACUCUGGGCCCGCUGCCCUGCAGCCAAAGCCAGAACCCCAGGCACAGCCACAGGCAGCUCCAGGUCGACAGACAACUCCAGGGCCACAGCAGUCACAGCCACCGCCAUCCAGACAGCUGCCUUCAGGGGCAGCCACACGCCAGCCGCAGCCGCAGCCGCAGCAGCAGCAGCAGCAGCAGCAGCAAGGCCUUGGACAGCAGCCUCCACAGCAGGCGCCGCCACAGGCUCGGCUGCAGCAGCAGAGCCAGCCAUCUGCCAGGGGCCCGGCCCCUGCUUCCAGCCAGCCAGCAGGGAAACCUCAGCCAGGCCCCACGCCAGCCGCAGGCCCCCCGCCAGCAGGACCACCACGGGCAGAACAAGCAAAUGGCUCUAAAGCCACAGCCAAGGCACCCCAACAGGGGAGGGCUCCUCAGGCUCAGCCGACACCAGGACCUGGAUCUGCAGGCCUGAAGACUGGAGCCAGGCCUGGAGGCGCCCCAGGGGCUCCCGCAGGCCAGCCGGGUGCUGAUGGGGAGAGUGUGCUCUCCAAGAUCCUCCCUGGCGGGGCAGCAGAACAAGCUGGCAAGCUGACGGAAGCUGUCUCUGCUUUUGGCAAAAAAUUCUCCUCGUUCUGGUGACCACGCCCAGCAGGGCUCUUGAAGAGAUGAAGAGAGGUUGAUAACAUUGCUGUGGAAAAAUCUCUGGAGGCAGAGAUCUGGGCGCAGCUCUGGACUCUGCGUAUAACACAUCUGCAUUCUGGCAAACCCUUGGCCCAAAGAUUCACACCAGGUGGGACGUGGCAGGCUGGCCUCAGUUGAGGACGGAGAGUCACCUGACAGCAGCUGCCUGCGUGAAAUACCUGCUGGAUGAGUGGGACCACUGGCCUGGGGGAACCCUGGUUGUCUUUGCCGAGACCCUGCUCUCCUCAGGGCACCGCCAUUGAGGCACAGCCAUCGGCCGUUGGGAGGGAGGCGCCCUCUGCAGCAGCCUGCACCAUGGCUGUCUCGCCACGCGUCCCACAGCCGCCUUUUGCCCCGGUGCGUUAUACGCAGAGUUUGGACACACACUGCCCUCCCUCCGAGAUGCCAGACGUUUUUCCACAGCCUUGGAGAGGGGCUUUGCCUGAGGGCUGGGGGCCCUGGGCUCCGUUUCCUUCACAUUCCAGCUGGCCCAGAUCCCUCUGUGGCCACAGGGCCCUGCCCCCACACCCUGCCCUCUGGGUGACACGGGAGCAGACCUUCUAGUGGCCAGCGUAGGGUUGGGAGAACUUUACAAACAUUAGGACCUAACACUGUCUCAUCGCUGAACUAAGAGGCCAUAGCACCGACAAGCAGCGUGGGCGCCGGCUGAGGCUCCUCCCAGCCCUUGGGUGGCAGCGUGCGAGCACGCAGGCCAUCAUCUUAAAGCCAUCCCCCUAACCAUCGUGCACAUCCCAGCGGCACCGCCAUUGUCUCCACCAGCCACCAGCCGGCUCCUCCUCGUCCCGACACCUGGGGGUUUCUUUUGAUUUCGAGAACAGCCUUAAUCAUUCCGCUUUGAUUUACGUGUAUACCUCAUAAACAUUCACGUUCGUUUCUCUCUCUCCCUUUCUCUCUUCUCUUUGCUCACCCCCUUGCCUCUCCCUGCAGCACCACAUUGUGACUGACGGUUUGGUUCCCUCUCUGCUCUGCCCCUGCUCAGCACGGGAGAAUGUUGACUUAGAAGCAAUAGGGGGCGGCUUGCCACCAAGAGCACAACCCCGGGGCGAGGUCUAGGGAGGCCCCCCGCCCGCCUCUGUUUACUGUGCAAUCCCAGUCCUUCUUAAGCCAUCACCAGUGCGUGUGCUCAGAGCAGAGGGGCCAGGGCUUCUGCCAGCCCAGGGAGAGGCCCAGAGCCCCACGUGGGGAAGCGUGGCGCCGUUUCUCCACCUGGUGGCCUGGGCGGCAUUCCUCCCCAGGACCCUUUCCUUGGGGGCCUCCCUUCAUCUUGGGCACAGCCACAAGUCUCAUCUCUGAUGUUCUAUGCAAUGAAAUAUAAACCCUCAAAGACAACUGUUAAUAUUUAAUAAAUUCCAUGUUAUGUAUAAGGAGUUAAUUGCAACCGUGCAAUUGAGAAACUGGAUAGAUCUGCUCACAUCCCCUCCUCCCCCCCCGCCCCUCUCCCGUGUGUGUGAAAUUCUCCGUCUGUGGCAUGCUUGACCUGCGGCAGGACUCGCUGCUGCCGGGCGAGCCACCGCCUGCCCCGCCGCGGAGCAUGCGCAGCUCGCAGCCUCUUUGCACGACUUCAUCCAUCUUAAACGCUCGACCCCUUUGCUUGGAGUUCUUUUUGCCUCAGAACCUCUCCUUCAGGAGCACUACUAGCUGACUUCUGCACAGCUGGUGAGGACCCACCAGUUGUCGCCUGAGCGUGCCAGGCUGCGGGCCAGGCAGUGUGAGGCCCCACAUGCCCUGCCGCGUUCUCAUCCAAGAAGCAGGUAAAAAGGAGUCCACGGAGUAGACAUGAUGGUGGGAGCCUGCCCAGGAUGCAUGUGUGCGAAUGUUCUGAAGGUUUGCUGUAGGAUUGCUGUCCGUAUGUCAUUCUCCCCUCCUACCCGAGCCCCAGACCGGAGGCAUCUGACUGCCCCUUCCCAGUGGGGCACUGCUUAAGGGCAGAGCUGGGCAGCAUUCACAGUCAGAGAGGCAGAGGCCAGACAGAACCUGGCUAUGCUCUGUGGGCCCAGCUUCUGCGUGCAGCUGCUCCCUGCCUCUCCCCUGUGGCUGGAGGCCUGGAGGGACUGGGAGCCCAGGAGACGUGGGCUGGAGCCAGCAGGUCAGUGGGUGCUCGGGAAGAGCUGAACCUUUAGUGCUUGUGGCCUUUGGCUGACAGUGUCUUCUGGAACCAGAGCAGGUGAACUAUUUACAUAGACAAUGGCUGCAAGUAGAGUUUCUUGGGAAGUUUCUCAAUAGCAAAACGUCCCUGAAGGUCCUGUGCGGGCCUUGCUGCCUCUGUUGCCAGGGCGUAUCAUCCCUGCCCAUCACCUUCUCUGAAGCCCACCCAUCCUCAUUAGCUUCUCCACCACUGAGCUGAAGCAUGGCAGGCGGGAGCUGCCUGAUGCCUUGAGGUCUGAUCUGCCUCCAGAGUGCUCUGGUUUGCACCGUGCGUUUCUCAGGGGUCCACAUUUCUCCUGGUUUUCUCUAACGUCUGCACGCCCCUCAGAGACAGAGCCUGGCCCACCUCUGGCGACUAGGAUGGGACAAGCAGCUGCGAGCCUUCACGUUGCACGUGGGACACCUGCUCAUCCCCAAGAUGCGGUCUGGCUAAGGGAGGCUGGGGCCGCAUCUCUGUGGGGAUGCACCUAGGUACUUGGAGGCCAGAGCAGUGAUCCUCUCCACUGAAGGCCAGGGAUGGGCUAGGAGCAGGGUGCAAGCGGGAAGAUGUCAGCAGGUCCGCCUGCACCGGGCCCUGUCUGUCUCUGAAGUGUUAACUUCUUAGCAGAUUUCCUUUCUGGCCAAGGUCUCUGAGUUUGAAAAAUCUGACAUCUGCCAUUCCUCACGCCCCUCUGUAUCCCCAGGACACGUCAUUGCCUCUCUGUGGAGGUGGCUGGGGCAGGCAUCUGGGCUGUAGGUGUCUUGAACCCUGUGACUCUCGGGGCAAUGUAGCCGGAGGCUGAGGGACCAGCAUUUGGUGCCUUGGGAAGCAGGGAACAGCAGACCUGUUUCCAAAUGGGCAAGGGGUCUCGGGGAGGCCAUCUAGGCCUUCUCCGUACCUCCCUCCCCUGCGUCACAGCCAGGGUGUCGCCUCCUCUGCCCUCGCCGGGCCCCAGUGCACAUGUCAGGUGGCAGCCCCACCCCCAUCCUCUUAGUUCUUGGGUGGAAUGUGAGGGCUCAGGGCCAACAACGAAAGGGCAGCAGUAGCAGCAACUGUGGCCCCUCUCCUGGAGCCUGUGGGGGCGCUUUCCAGGCAGGCUCUUUGCCAUGACAGUGUGCUCCUGCCCUAGCGGCUCCUCCUCCACCCAGCCCCCGCCAUGCUGUAAAUAUUUGUCAUUGUGGACUCCGACAGGGUCAGAGGGACAGGCCUAAUGAACUGAAACUCCUCCGAGAUGCCAGCUCCGUCUCCCUGGGUGCCUGCUGCCCUGGGGAGGCCCUGGAGAGCCAUGGAAAUUGUGAGACUGUGUGCACGCGAACCUAUGUAUGAGUGUGUGUGUGUGUGUGUGUGCGCGUGUGCGUGUCUGUCUCAUUCAGCUCCUCCUCCCCUAGGCAGCACCCUGGAGAGGAGUGGCCAUCCACACCUUCUCCUCCAGCUUCCACGUCUUGUUUUCGGCUUUCCCUCCUUCCUCCCUCCUCUUUCCCUUCUUUCUUUCUCUCCUUCUUCAUUUGAGGGGGGAAGAGUGCUGUACAAAGUCACACAAACAAGUUUACAGUUGUAAGUGCAAUGACCCGAGUCCUCCAGCCGCCCUCGUGAACUGUGUGCCGUCCUCCCGUGCUCUGUGAGAACUUGUGGUACUUUCAGUGUCCCUCCCCCUGCAUUGUGACAAGGUAAUUCUGUGGUAUCAGAAUAAAAAGACUUGAUAUAAACAAUCCA